Molecule: ribosomal RNA, 491 nt
Filed under: uncultured bacterium
Lineage: Bacteria
Description: partial 16S ribosomal RNA
Rfam family: Bacterial small subunit ribosomal RNA
Source: RNAcentral
GUGAACGCUGGCGGUAGGCCUAACACAUGCCAGUCGAACGGCAGCACAGUAAGAGCUUGCUCUUACGGGUGGCGAGUGGCGGACGGGUGGGGAAUACAUCGGAAUCUACUUUUUCGUGGGGGAUAACGUAGGGAAACUUACGCUAAUACCGCAUACGACCUACGGGUGAAAGCAGGGGAUCUUCGGACCUUGCGCGAUUGAAUGAGCCGAUGUCGGAUUAGCUAGUUGGCGGGGUAAAGGCCCACCAAGGCGACGAUCCGUAGCUGGUCUGAGAGGAUGAUCAGCCACACUGGAACUGAGACACGGUCCAGACUCCUACGGGAGGCAGCAGUGGGGAAUAUUGGACAAUGGGCGCAAGCCUGAUCCAGCCAUACCGCGUGGGUGAAGAAGGCCUUCGGGUUGUAAAGCCCUUUUGUUGGGAAAGAAAAGCAGCAGGUUAAUACCCCGCUGUUCUGACGGUACCCAAAGAAUAAGCACCGGCUAACUUCGUG